GACGAACGCUGGCGGCGUGCCUAAUACAUGCAAGUUGAGCGCUGAAGGUUGGUCCUUGUACCAACUGGAUGAGCAGCGAACGGGUGAGUAACGCGUGGGGAAUCUGCCUUUGAGCGGGGGACAACAUUUGGAAACGAAUGCUAAUACCGCAUAAAAACUUUAAACACAAGUUUUAAGUUUGAAAGAUGCAAUUGCCUCACUCAAAGAUGAUCCCGCGUUGUAUUAGCUAGUUGGUGAGGUAAAGGCUCACCAAGGCGAUGAUACAUAGCCGACCUGAGAGGGUGAUCGGCCACAUUGGGACUGAGACACGGCCCAAACUCCUACGGGAGGCAGCAGUAGGGAAUCUUCGGCAAUGGACGAAAGUCUGACCGAGCAACGCCGCGGGAGUGAAGAAGGUUUUCGGAUCGUAAAACUCUGUUGGUAGAGAAGAACGUUGGUGAGAGUGGAAAGCUCAUCAAGUGACGGUAACUACCCAGAAAGGGACGGCUAACUACGUG
This 497-nucleotide ribosomal RNA is filed under the name uncultured bacterium. Its description in RNAcentral is "partial 16S ribosomal RNA". It matches the Rfam family "Bacterial small subunit ribosomal RNA", at positions 28 to 507 of the family's 1533-position model. The record is from RNAcentral.